GGAGCUAAUCCCUUAAAGCUACUCUCAGUUCGGAUUGUAGGCUGAAACUCGCCUACAUGAAGCUGGAGUUACUAGUAAUCGCAGAUCAGAAUGCUGCGGUGAAUGCGUUCCCGGGUCUUGUACACACCGCCCGUCACACCACGGGAGUUGGAGACGCCCGAAGCCGAUUAUCUAACCGUUUGGAAGAAGUCGUCGAAGGUGGAAUCAAUAACUGGGGUGAAGUCGUAACAAGGUAGCCGUAUCGGAAGGUGCGGCUGGAUCACCUCCUUUCUAAGGAGA
Molecule: ribosomal RNA, 279 nt
Filed under: Clostridioides difficile
Lineage: Bacteria; Bacillati; Bacillota; Clostridia; Peptostreptococcales; Peptostreptococcaceae
Description: partial 16S ribosomal RNA
Rfam family: Bacterial small subunit ribosomal RNA
Source: RNAcentral